RNAcentral lists this unclassified non-coding RNA (1513 nucleotides) under Hevea brasiliensis (rubber tree). The record is from RNAcentral. Lineage: Eukaryota; Viridiplantae; Streptophyta; Magnoliopsida; Malpighiales; Euphorbiaceae.
CGCCGCCGCCGCCGCCUCCUCCUCUUCUUCUCCCCUUCCCGGUGGUACUCCUCCGCUCUCUUCCGCACCUAUAGACAUGCCUCCUCCACCUCCCCUGCCGCCCUUCCCCAACACCUCUUUCCCAGCUUCUCCUCUACAGCGUGCGGCAACCAUGCCCGAAAUCUCUAUCCCCACGCCCGACCCGAAACGAUCCGAUAUGAUUAUCGAGGAGGAGAACGAAGAUGAUAUGGAAACUGAAAGCACUCAUGGUUUAAGGCAUCGUAGUAGUAAAAGUAGCGGCGGCGGUGGAAUUGGGGGCAGAGGUGCAGCAUCUCAUCGACAGGGAAUCGAGGAUGAAGAAUUGCCUACGCCUCCUUCUCCACCUCGGACACUGCCGCAGAAUAAUCGAACGCCACCUCCCCCACCACCACCAGAUAAUAAAGGGAUGGACUCCAUGUCAUGGGAUUUUUUCUUCCCUUCAAUGGAAAAUGUACCAGCGCCAACGCUAGCAGAGGAGGACGAGAGUAGGAUUGAACGACAGGAACUCGAGCGGAGGAUGAUGGAAGAAAGGGCCAAGAGAACUGAAAAUGAUGGCCGCGCUGAUGAAAGUGAAAGAGUGAGGAAAAAUGAGAUGCCGAAGGAAGCAGAUGUGGUGGAAACGGUAGAGGAGCCUCCGUCGCAGCCACCUCCUCCGCCUCAGGCUGCUACGAAGGUUGUGAAAAGAGUGAAAAAUGUUGUUCCAGGAGAGAACAAAAAAAAAGGAGGCCAAUUUAACCUUCUUCAGAUAUUCUCUGAGCUGGAUGACUGUUUCCUUAAGGCGUCCGAGAGUGCUCACGAAGUAUCUAAGAUGCUUGAGGCCAAUCGAUUGCAUUAUCACUCAAAUUUUGCUGAUAAUAGAGGACACAUUGAUCAUUCUGCAAGGGUCAUGCGCGUCAUAACAUGGAAUAGGUCCUUCAGAGGUUUGCCAAAUGCCGAUGACGAGUUGGAUGACUUUGAUUCAGAAGAACAUGAAACUCAUGCAACUGUGUUAGACAAGAUGCUUGCCUGGGAGAAAAAACUGUAUGAUGAAGUGAAGGCAGGAGAACAAAUGAAACUUGAAUAUCAGAGAAAGGUCGCUUCAUUGAAUAAGCUCAAGAAACGUGGUACAAAUACAGAAAGCUUGGAGAGAGUGAAAGCUACAGUAAGUCAUCUACACACGAGAUACAUUGUCGAUAUGCAGUCGAUGGAUUCUACUGUUUCAGAGAUAAAUCGGCUACGCGAUGAACAACUUUAUCCAAAAUUGGUUGAUCUGGUUAAUGGGAUGGCUAUAAUGUGGGAGAACAUGAAAGGAUAUCAUGUGAGUCAGUCUAAGAUUGCACAAGCGCUGAAGUCUUUGGAUAUAUCUCAAUCCCCUAAAGAAACAACUGAGCACCAUCAUGAACGAACUUUGCAGUUGUAUGUUGUUGUCCAAGAGUGGCAUUCACAGUUUGACAAACUGGUUAUCUACCAAAAACAGUAUAUCAAAGCUCUUAACAAUUGGUUAAAGCUAAAUCUC